AUCCAGUUGACAAGUCCCAAGUAGGACGAAAUGCGCAUCGUGGAU
This 45-nucleotide non-coding RNA is filed under the name Trichobilharzia regenti. Lineage: Eukaryota; Metazoa; Platyhelminthes; Trematoda; Strigeidida; Schistosomatidae. The record is from RNAcentral.